RNAcentral lists this ribosomal RNA (211 nucleotides) under uncultured bacterium. RNAcentral describes it as "partial 16S ribosomal RNA". It matches the Rfam family "Bacterial small subunit ribosomal RNA", at positions 1289 to 1500 of the family's 1533-position model. The record is from RNAcentral.
CAGUUCGGAUUGUAGGCUGCAACUCGCCUACAUGAAGUCGGAAUUGCUAGUAAUCGCGGAUCAGCAUGCCGCGGUGAAUACGUUCCCGGGCCUUGUACACACCGCCCGUUACACCAUGGGAGCCGGUAAUACCCGAAGUCAGUAGUCCAACCUCGUGAGGACGCUGCCGAAGGUAGGAUUGGCGACUGGGGUGAAGUCGUAACAAGGUAAC